AGCAGCCCCAGCAGCGGCAGGUGACUGUAGCCCUAGCAGCCUAAGAAAAGGCAGCAGCCUGUGAACAGGGUGACAAAAGCAUUCCUUCUCCAUCUCAGGAAGUAGGAGAUCCUGUUCUAACCACUAGCAAGAGGAACCCUGACUCCUCCAGAAUCUCAGAUCUUCUCCGGGAGCCUGGCACCCGGGUGAGACUUGGGAUGAGUAGAAUCCUGAAAAGAGACAUAAACUGGCAGAUUCCCUCCUCACCCUCUCCCCUCAGAAGUGACACUCAGGGAACAUUGUGGUUCCACCAGCCUGGAGGACUCUUUGCCCCUUUGGGGAUGUGGACUAUGAACAGAGGCUAAUCAGACAAAGUAUGGCAAGAGCAACGGCACAAUCAGCAGAAUCUU
RNAcentral lists this long non-coding RNA (389 nucleotides) under Mus pahari (shrew mouse). RNAcentral's name for it is "lncRNA (MGP_PahariEiJ_G0004991.1)". The record is from RNAcentral. Lineage: Eukaryota; Metazoa; Chordata; Mammalia; Rodentia; Muridae.